Molecule: long non-coding RNA, 2316 nt
Filed under: Homo sapiens (human)
Lineage: Eukaryota; Metazoa; Chordata; Mammalia; Primates; Hominidae
Description: HSALNT0375914
Source: RNAcentral
AGCGAAGGGGUGGGGUGGGAUCUUGGUCCAGCUGGUACUGGAGCGGCGACAAUUUUGGCUAGUCUAAGAAGGGCAUUCGAGUGACCGUUGACAACGGGUGGGACAGCGUCAGAGCUGGAGGGAGAGCCAGCACUGUAUGCUUCCAGGACUUCUUGCUAGGUGCAUUAGUUUUUAUUUUUAAGAGUUGGGUAAAAGACAUUAAUUAGUUAGCAUCUCACUCAUCGGCGAUUUUCUACGGUAUGAUUUCAUCCAAAGAGGAUUUCUUAAUCGCACUGUGUGACACCGUUAGGGGACUUAGAGUGUCACUCGCCGCCUUAAAUCCUUUCGGGAACAAGCCAGGAUAUAAAUAAAUAAAGCUAGGUGUGGGUCUUCCCUUCACAAGGCGCUGGUAGGCAGACUAAAGACAGGCAACAGCUGAGUGUGCACACAGAACUAAAUAUUGAACGAAAUACGAGUGUCGGAAUAAAAUUCAUUGCCAUGUGCACGGCUUAUGAUUAUACAGAUCUUGGACAUAUCACGGACCUGAACGUCAACCCUGCAACACCGGAUAAAACAUCUAAUGUAGCUGGAAUAGACUCUGAAAGGACGUUAGGCAUUAUCUAAAUCAAGUCCCUCAUUUUACAGAUGAGUAAACUGACUCAGUGAAGUAUUUUGCUCAAGGUCGUUCAUCAAAUUAGUAGUUUAAUUAACUCAGUGUUCUAGGAAGCAGGGUAGUAGAAAAGCAUGGGAUUCGGAGUCUGAAAUCUUCCUUGGUUUCUGGUCCUUGUAGGCUGUUUUACAAGUGUAUCUUGGGCAAAUCCCUUAACGUCUUGCCAUUUAUUAAGGGCUUACUUACCACGUGGCAAACAAUCCACUUUGCAUGCUGUGUCAAUUACAUGCAGUAUGUCGUGUAGUUAUUACUGUCCCCAUUUUAUGAGGUAGUUUAGGUUUAAAGAUAUUAGAAAUUUACCCAAAGUUACGCAGUUAUAAACAUUGUAGUAAUUUCAAACUCAGGUCUUCGUGACUGCAAAGGCUGCUGUCUUAAGUAUUGUAAUACAUUAGAGCUCCGGAUUCCCUCCCACUCAAAACAGAGACUGAGACUCCAACCAAUUUCCACCAUUAUUGGGAGUCAAACGAGAGAGACUGUGGCAAUGUAUUCUAAGCUGUACAAAGGUAUAAACAUAUUCACUAGAUUUGUAGAAUGAAGUUAUUCCUUCCCUAUACUUUCCACUACAACAAUUCAGCCAAAAAGAUGGCUUUCAUACUAAGCAUAAGAAGGAACUUCACUGUAAUUAUGAUAUUCUAACCAAGAAUAUAUGCAUAUCUAGGCAAUAACCAAAGUGAAUAGAAUAAAAUUUAAUUCCUGAUAGAUUAAAUAGGCAAUAGCAAGGAAUGCUAACGCUCCUCAUAGCGUUCUUGUUGGAAGAAUCAUCUAGGAGGCAUUGGGAUUUCUGGUGCUUUUUAAGCAAUGAGAGAUAUCAGUCCACUGAAUGAGGAAGAGAAUAACGUUUAGUUUCGGACUAAAAGUUCAUCUGGACUACGGAAAACACGUUUGCCUCAAUCAGUGAAGAAGGUAUGCUGAGAGCUGAAAGAAAAGGAAAGCAGCAACAGUGAGAGCUCAGAAAUUCCCAGACUGUUUUGAUGAUAAGGUCCAAGAACUUGCCAUGUGAUCCAUCACUACUAGACUCCCACAACUGCAUUAGAUUUGUUCAGGAUUUUCAUAUAAUUUUCAUAACUGGCUAAGUUCUGAAAUAACCCAUCUUGAAGACAUAAACAAUGUGCAUUGAUGGCUAGCCAGACUCUGUCCUGCCACAGUUCUCCUCCUACUCUUCAUUUCUUACCCCAAGGAGUAGUAAACAUGAAUCCUGACCCACCAAUGCAGUCCCAGAACUGAGAAAAGAUUCACUGCAGCUAAACAGAUUAUUUUUGCACCUUUGGAAAGCAACUGAAAAAGGAAGCCUGGAAAAAAUCCUGCCUAACAAAGCAGCAGUACUCAAAUAGCUUUAACUAUAAGAAAGAACUGAUUCAAGAUAUGAGAAGAGAUUUAAGAUAUAAGAUUAAAUAUAAGUGUAAAUGAUAUCCUCAUUUUUAUUGAAAUGCUGUGUAUUCCUAUUAUUUCAGUGAAAUGUUAAAUGGCAAAGGAUGCAUUUUUUAGAUUAUUUUUUUCACUGAAUUUUAAACAGUCUUUGAAGCAGAUAUUUCAUAUAACAAUAUCCAGAAACAAUAACACAUAUGUGGAUAAAGUUGAGUGGUUGGAUAAUGUAUUGUGCAAAUUAUCAAGAAGAAAACCAUCUUAAAGAAAUAUUUUAGCUUAACAGCAUCAAUAAAUGGGACACC